ACCAGACAUGGUGGCACACACCUGUAGUCCCAGCUACUUGGGAGGCUGAGACAGGAGAAUCGCUUGAGUUCAGGAGUUCUGGGCUGUAGUGCAAUCCACUGAUCAGGUGUCUGCACUAAGUUCAGCAUCAAUAUGGUGACCUCCUGAGAGUGGGGGCCACCAGGUUUCCCACGGAGGGGUGAACUGGCCCAGGUAGGAAAUGGAGCAGGUCAAAACUCCCAUGCUGAUCAGUAGUGGGAUGGUGCCUGUGAAUAGCCACUGCACUCCAGCGUGUGCAACAUAGUGAGACCCUGUCUCAA
Non-coding RNA from Otolemur garnettii (small-eared galago), 299 nucleotides. Lineage: Eukaryota; Metazoa; Chordata; Mammalia; Primates; Galagidae. The record is from Rfam.